Long non-coding RNA from Etheostoma spectabile (orangethroat darter), 92 nucleotides. RefSeq lists it as uncharacterized. The transcript is spliced from 3 exons. The record is from RefSeq and is a predicted model, not a curated record. NCBI's taxonomy places the organism in Eukaryota, Metazoa, Chordata, Actinopteri, Perciformes, Percidae.
AUCUACUCUCUGGAGAAGAUAUCCAGCAGUGACAUCAGCUCAGAGCUGGCAGAAACCAGUGGGACCCCGAUACACCCAUCUACUGUCUGGAG